UUCCAGCUCCAAUAGCGUAUAUUAAAGUUGUUGCAGUUAAAAAGCUCGUAGUUGGAUUUCUGGCGGGAGCGAUCGGUCCUUCACUCAGUGUUGGAACCUGAUUGUCUCCUGCCAUCCAUGGAGAAAACUUAUCUGGCAUUAAGUUGUCGGGUAGGCAAUCUCCAUCUUUUACUGUGAAAAAAUUAGAGUGUUCAAAGCAGGCUUAUGCCGUUGAAUAUAUUAGCAUGGAAUAAUAAGAUAGGACUAUGGUACUAUUUUGUUGGUUUGUGCACCAUGGUAAUGAUUAAUAGGGACAGUUGGGGGUAUUCGUAUUCCAUUGUCAGAGGUGAAAUUCUUGGAUUUAUGGAAGACGAACUACUGCGAAAGCAUUUGCCAGGGAUGUUUUCAUCA
RNAcentral lists this ribosomal RNA (390 nucleotides) under Rhizosolenia sp. Its description in RNAcentral is "partial small subunit ribosomal RNA". It matches the Rfam family "Eukaryotic small subunit ribosomal RNA", at positions 583 to 975 of the family's 1831-position model. The record is from RNAcentral. Lineage: Eukaryota; Bacillariophyta; Coscinodiscophyceae; Rhizosoleniales; Rhizosoleniaceae.